This 1344-nucleotide ribosomal RNA is filed under the name Paenibacillus violae. Its description in RNAcentral is "partial 23S ribosomal RNA". It matches the Rfam family "Bacterial large subunit ribosomal RNA", at positions 1577 to 2925 of the family's 2925-position model. Lineage: Bacteria; Bacillati; Bacillota; Bacilli; Caryophanales; Paenibacillaceae. The record is from RNAcentral.
UUUAAGUACCGAAGGUCAUGAUUUCACACUGCCAAGAAAAGCUUCUAGCCAGGCGAAGGUGCCCGUACCGCAAACCGACACAGGUGGGUGAGAAGAGAAUUCUAAGGCGCGCGGAAGAACUCUCGUUAAGGAACUCGGCAAAAUGACCCCGUAACUUCGGGAGAAGGGGUGCCUCGGUAGGGUGAAUAGCCCGAGGGGGCCGCAGUGAAAAGGCCCAAGCGACUGUUUAGCAAAAACACAGGUCUGUGCGAAGCCGCAAGGCGAAGUAUACGGGCUGACGCCUGCCCGGUGCUGGAAGGUUAAGAGGAGUGGUUAGGGGGUAACCCCGAAGCUAUGAAUUGAAGCCCCAGUAAACGGCGGCCGUAACUAUAACGGUCCUAAGGUAGCGAAAUUCCUUGUCAGGUAAAUUCUGACCCGCACGAAUGGCGUAACGACUUGGGCGCUGUCUCAACGAGAGAUCCGGUGAAAUUUUAAUACCUGUGAAGAUGCAGGUUACCCGCGACAAGACGGAAAGACCCCAUGGAGCUUUACUGCAGCUUGAUAUUGGACUUUGGUACGAUCUGUACAGGAUAGGUGGGAGCCUUUGAAGCCUGAGCGCCAGCUUGGGUGGAGGCGCCGUUGGGAUACCACCCUGAUCGUAUCGGAGUUCUAACCUGGUACCGUGAUCCGGUAUGGGGACAGUGUCAGGUGGGCAGUUUGACUGGGGCGGUCGCCUCCUAAAAUGUAACGGAGGCGUUUAAAGGUUCCCUCAGAAUGGUUGGAAAUCAUUCGCAGAGUGCAAAGGCAUAAGGGAGCUUGACUGCGAGACCUACAAGUCGAGCAGGGACGAAAGUCGGACUUAGUGAUCCGGUGGUACCGAAUGGAAGGGCCAUCGCUCAACGGAUAAAAGCUACCCUGGGGAUAACAGGCUUAUCUCCCCCAAGAGUCCACAUCGACGGGGAGGUUUGGCACCUCGAUGUCGGCUCAUCGCAUCCUGGGGCUGAAGUAGGUCCCAAGGGUUGGGCUGUUCGCCCAUUAAAGCGGUACGCGAGCUGGGUUCAGAACGUCGUGAGACAGUUCGGUCCCUAUCUGUCGCGGGCGUAGGAAAUUUGAGAGGAGCUGUCCUUAGUACGAGAGGACCGGGAUGGACGUACCGCUGGUGUACCAGUUGUCUCGCCAGAGGCACCGCUGGGUAGCUAUGUACGGAGGGGAUAAGCGCUGAAAGCAUCUAAGCGCGAAGCCCCCCUCAAGAUGAGAUUUCCCAGUAUGUAAGACCCCUUGUAGACGACGAGGUUGAUAGGUUCGAGGUGGAAGUGCGGCAACGUAUGCAGCUGACGAAUACUAAUCGGUCGAGGGCUUAACCAA